Molecule: long non-coding RNA, 267 nt
Filed under: Haliotis rubra (blacklip abalone)
Lineage: Eukaryota; Metazoa; Mollusca; Gastropoda; Lepetellida; Haliotidae
Description: uncharacterized LOC124266093, transcript variant X1
Source: RNAcentral
AUGCCAAUCUUGGCUGUUCCUCAUUUGGAUUCGAACCUAAUCUGCGCACCUGUCACCUUCACAAGAAACACAGUUCAUCAGCACCAACCGACCUGGUGACGAAACCACCGUGGAAACACAGCGAUAUUUCACACUGGCCGAAGGAACUCGUUGGCCCCUGCGCAGAUCACACGUGUCCGUCAGGGAGGCGAUGCAGUGUGCAUCGUGUGACUAAAGCCCCGCUGUGUUUAGAAGCUGAAAUCUAUCAACCAGAUGUCUGUCCUGACG